This 498-nucleotide ribosomal RNA is filed under the name uncultured Entrophospora. RNAcentral's name for it is "SSU rRNA". It matches the Rfam family "Eukaryotic small subunit ribosomal RNA", at positions 569 to 1065 of the family's 1831-position model. The record is from RNAcentral. Lineage: Eukaryota; Fungi; Glomeromycota; Glomeromycetes; Entrophosporales; Entrophosporaceae.
AGCAGCCGCGGUAAUUCCAGCUCCAAUAGCGUAUAUUAAAGUUGUUGCAGUUAAAAAGCUCGUAGUUGAAUUUCGGGAUUGGCGCAUCGGUCGUGCCUCACGGGGUAUGAACUGGUGCAGUCAAUUUCUCACCUUCUGGAGAACCGCGAUGUCCUUAAUUGGAUGCCGCGGGGAACCAGGACCUUUACUUUGAAAAAUUAGAGUGUUUAAAGCAGGCAUUUUUGCUUGAAUACAUUAGCAUGGAAUAAUAAAAUAGGACGGCAUGGUUCUAUUUUGUUGGUUUCUAGGACCACCGUAAUGAUUAAUAGGGAUAGUUGGGGGCAUUAGUAUUCAAUUGUCAGAGGUGAAAUUCUUGGAUUUAUUGAAGACUAACUACUGCGAAAGCAUUUGCCAAGGAUGUUUUCAUUAAUCAAGAACGAAAGUUAGGGGAUCGAAGACGAUCAGAUACCGUCGUAGUCUUAACCAUAAACUAUGCCGACUAGGAAUCAGACGAUGUUA